GAAGCAGCAGUGGGGAAUAUUGCACCAUGGCGCAAGCUGAUGCAGCAACGCCGCGUGAGGGAUGACGCUCGGGUGUAAACCUCUUUAGUAGGGAAGAAGCGAAAGUGACGGUACUGCAGAAAAAGCACCGGCUAACUACGUGCCAGCAGCCGCGGUAAUACGUAGGGUGCAAGCGUUAUCCGGAAUUAUUGGGCGUAAAGAGCUCGUAGGCGGUUUGUCGCGUCUGCUGUGAAAACUAGAGGCUCAACUUCUAGCUUGCAGUGGGUACGGGCAGACUAGAGUGCGGUAGGGGAGAUUGGAAUUCCUGGUGUAGCGGUGGAAUGCGCAGAUAUCAGGAGGAACACCGAUGGCGAAGGCAGAUCUCUGGGCCGUAACUGACGCUGAGGAGCGAAAGAGUGGGGAGCAAACAGGCUUAGAUACCCUGGUAGUCCACUCCGUAAACGUUGGGAACUAGUUGUGGGGGCCUUUCUACGGUCUCCGUGACGCAGCUAACGCAUUAAGUUCCCCGCCUGGGGAGUACGGCCGCAAGGCUAAAACUCAAAGGAAUUGACGGGGACCCGCACAAGCGGCGGAGCAUGCGGAUUAAUUCGAUGCAACGCGAAGAACCUUACCAAGGCUUGACAUAUACCGGAAACGGCUGGAAACAGUCGCCCCCUUGUGGUCGGUAUACAGGUGGUGCAUGGUUGUCGUCAGCUCGUGUCGUGAGAUGUUGGGUUAAGUCCCGCAACGAGCGCAACCCUCGUUCUAUGUUGCCAGCACGUUAUGGUGGGAACUCAUGGAAUACUGCCGGGGUCAACUCGGAGGAAGGUGGGGAUGACGUCAAAUCAUCAUGCCCCUUAUGUCUUGGGCUUCACGCAUGCUACAAUGGCCGGUACAAUGGGCUGCGAUACCGUGAGGUGGAGCGAAUCCCAAAAAGCCGGUCCCAGUUCGGAUUGUAGUCUGCAACUCGACUACAUGAAGUCGGAGUCGCUAGUAAUCGCAGAUCAGCAACGCUGCGGUGAAUACGUUCCCGGGUCUUGUACACACCGCCCGUCAAGUCAUGAAAGUCGGUAACACCUGAAGCCGGUGGCCUAACCCCUUGUGGGAGGGGAGCCUU
RNAcentral lists this ribosomal RNA (1096 nucleotides) under Microbacterium sp. RNAcentral describes it as "bacterial SSU rRNA". It matches the Rfam family "Bacterial small subunit ribosomal RNA", at positions 345 to 1456 of the family's 1533-position model. The record is from RNAcentral. Lineage: Bacteria; Bacillati; Actinomycetota; Actinomycetes; Micrococcales; Microbacteriaceae.